Molecule: ribosomal RNA, 487 nt
Filed under: uncultured bacterium
Lineage: Bacteria
Description: bacterial SSU rRNA
Rfam family: Bacterial small subunit ribosomal RNA
Source: RNAcentral
CAGGCCUAACACAUGCAAGUCGAGCGGAGAUGAGGUGCUUGCACCUUAUCUUAGCGGCGGACGGGUGAGUAAUGCUUAGGAAUCUGCCAUUUAGUGGGGGACAACAUUCCGAAAGGAAUGCUAAUACCGCAUACGUCCUACGGGAGAAAGCAGGGGAUCUUCGGACCUUGCGCUAAAUGAUGAGCCUAAGUCGGAUCAGCUAGUUGGUGGGGUAAAGGCCUACCAAGGCGACGAUCUGUAGCGGGUCUGAGAGGAUGAUCCGCCACACUGGGACUGAGACACGGCCCAGACUCCUACGGGAGGCAGCAGUGGGGAAUAUUGGACAAUGGGCGGAAGCCUGAUCCAGCCAUGCCGCGUGUGUGAAGAAGGCCUUUUGGUUGUAAAGCACUUUAAGCGAGGAGGAGGCUCUCCUAGUUAAUACCUAGGAUGAGUGGACGUUACUCGCAGAAUAAGCACCGGCUAACUCUGUGCCAGCAGCCGCGGUAAU